GGGGGGGGGGGGGGGGGGGGCGGGUGGGGGCGAGGGGGGCGAGCGGGCGGGAAGGUUGCUUCGCGGAUGUUAGGGGCGGGCGGGUGAGUAACACGUGGAUAACCUACCUGUACGCCUGGGGUAACUUCGGGAAACCGGAGCUCAUACCGGAUAGUAUUUUGAACCGCAUUGUCCAACAGUGCAAGCCGGGCCUGCGGUCCCUUAUAGAUGAAUCCGCGCUGCAUUAGCUAGUUGGUAGGGUAAAGGCUUACCAAGGCAACGAUGUGUAGCCGACCUGAGAGGACGACCAGCCACACUGGGACUGAGACACGGCCCAGACUCCUACGGGAGGCAGCAGUGGGGAAUUUUGGACAAUGGGCGCAAGCCUGAUCCAGCCAUGCCGCGUGCGGGAAGAAGGCCUUCGGGUUGUAAACCGCUUUUGUCAGGGAAGAAAACCUUUGUGUUAAUACCUCGGGGGGAUGACGGUACCUGAAGAAUAAGCACCGGCUAACUACGUG
This 497-nucleotide ribosomal RNA is filed under the name uncultured bacterium. Its description in RNAcentral is "partial 16S ribosomal RNA". It matches the Rfam family "Bacterial small subunit ribosomal RNA", at positions 27 to 507 of the family's 1533-position model. The record is from RNAcentral.